ACAGGGAUUGCCCCAGUAACGGCGAGUGAAGCGGCAACAGCUCAAAUUUGAAAUCUGGCCCCCAGGGCCCGAGUUGUAAUUUGCAGAGGAUGCUUUUGGCGCGGUGCCUUCCGAGUUCCCUGGAACGGGACGCCAUAGAGGGUGAGAGCCCCGUCUGGUCGGACACCAAGCCAGUGUAAAGCUCCUUCGACGAGUCGAGUAGUUUGGGAAUGCUGCUCUAAAUGGGAGGUAUAUGUCUUCUAAAGCUAAAUACCGGCCAGAGACCGAUAGCGCACAAGUAGAGUGAUCGAAAGAUGAAAAGCACUUUGAAAAGAGGGUUAAAAAGUACGUGAAAUUGUUGAAAGGGAAGCGUUUAUGACCAGACUUGGGCCCGGUGAAUCAUCCAGCGUUCUCGCUGGUGCACUUUGCCGGGCUCAGGCCAGCAUCAGUUCGCCGCGGGGGACAAAAGCUUCGGGAACGUGGCUCCCUCGGGAGUGUUAUAGCCCGUUGCACAAUACCCUGUGGUGGACUGAGGUUCGCGCUCCGCAAGGAUGCUGGCGUAAUGGUCAUCAGCGACCCGUCUUGAAACACGGACCAAGGAGUCGUCUUCGUAUGCGAGUGUUCGGGUGUAAAACCCCUACGCGUAAUGAAAGUGAACGCAGGUGAGAGCUUCGGCGCAUCAUCGACCGAUCCUGAUGUUCUCGGAUGGAUUUGAGUAAGAGCAUACGGGGCCGGACCCGAAAGAAGGUGAACUAUGCCUGUAUAGGGUGAAGCCAGAGGAAACUCUGGUGGAGGCUCGCAGCGGUUCUGACGUGCAAAUCGAUCGUCAAAUAUGGGCAUGGGGGCGAAAGACUAAUCGAACCUUCUAGAGCUGGUUUCCGCCGAAGUUUCCCUCAGGAUAGCAGUGUUGAACUCAGUUUUAUGAGGUAAAGCGAAUGAUUAGGGACCCGGGGGCGCUCUUUAGCCUUCAUCCAUUCUCAAACUUUAAAUAUGUAAGAAGCCCUUGUUGCUUAAUUGAACGUGGGCAUUCGAAUGUAUCAACACUAGUGGGCCAUUUUUGGUAAGCAGAACUGGCGAUGCGGGAUGAACCGAACGCGAGGUUAAGGUGCCAGAGUAGACGCUCAUCAGACACCACAAAAGGCGUUAGUACAUCUUGACAGCAGGACGGUGGCCAUGGAAGUCG
This 1162-nucleotide ribosomal RNA is filed under the name Tolypocladium pustulatum. Its description in RNAcentral is "LSU rRNA". It matches the Rfam family "Eukaryotic large subunit ribosomal RNA", at positions 68 to 1263 of the family's 3401-position model. Lineage: Eukaryota; Fungi; Ascomycota; Sordariomycetes; Hypocreales; Ophiocordycipitaceae. The record is from RNAcentral.